Non-coding RNA from Coturnix japonica (Japanese quail), 4247 nucleotides. NCBI's taxonomy places the organism in Eukaryota, Metazoa, Chordata, Aves, Galliformes, Phasianidae. The record is from RefSeq and is a predicted model, not a curated record.
CCUGAUCCAGCUGUAGGUGUUCAGUGCAGGGGAGUUGGACUAGAAGAUCUUUAAGGGGCCCUUUCAACUUAAAUGAUUCUGAUUUAAUGAUUCUGUACCAGAGGUGGUAUACCAUCUCUUCCUUUUUCUUGCCUUCAGUAUGGAGGAAAAAAUCAAAUCCUUUUUGAGAGCUCCCAUCAUUUUGAACUGAGACCCAUGUGUUUUUCUCACAUUCCUUCUUUCUUCCCAGCGCUUUUCCCCCAGUUUUUAUAGAUCAAAAUUAAAUGAGUCUGAAUGCUUCUGUUUAAUUUUUUUUUUGUUCUUAUAAAAAAAAAGAGAAUUAAACUUUGAGAAUUCUGCUGCAAAGUGCUAAAUUUGUUUCCUAGAUCCAUAACUCAUCAAAUGGCUGAGUGAUAGCUGUGUCGUAAAUGGCUUUAGCAUUCUGUGAAUGAAUUUGAUAUUAAUUUUGAAGCAGAAUUCAAUACCUUGAAGAUUUCUUGCCUAGGGAUAUUUGUGCCUUCAAGGUUCAUGAGCCAUGCCAUUGCUUAAUGGAAUAAACCUAUUCUGUGUACUAUUUAUGGAUUUUAUUUAAAAAAAAAAAAAAAAGCUAAAUAAAAUAUGCAUAACAAACAUAUUGCUGAAUGCAUCACAGUUUUACUAACCUAAGGUCAUAUCUGAAAAUAAAUCUUUGAUCAAAUAAGACUUAUUUUCUAAUUAAUACAAGAGGCAAUUAAGCCCAAUUAAGAAGUUGUCUAUGGGAGGAAUGGUUGUGAUUUUGUUUUAUUCAGGCUGAACUGAGAAUGGGAGUCCAGUUAACAGAGAAGUGAUACCCUCCAACACGGCAGUCAUCACUACAGUUCAUUGAUCUCUCUGAUGAAGGGCACUUGUAUAUAUAGGAUGAAAAUACUCAUAGGAUCUAACUGUCCAUUCUCAUCCUCAAUCUAGUCAGAUUAAAUCACUCAAGCACAUAGUAUAUGAUUUUUGACUCAGCUAAGGAAAAGUAUAGCAAUUUCAGGGCUCACAGCACCUUUCAGUUUAACCCUUACAUCUCCUGAUCUCUUAUUAUAUGUCUUUUUUUUUUUUUUUUUUUUUUUUUUUUUUAACCCUGCCAUUUCCUUAUCAGUCCUAUUUUAUCUGGAUACUCUUUUAAACAAAAUUAAUACAAUCCAAUGAAAAUUAACUCUCCUAUUAAAGGUAUCAUCCAUCUUUCCUGUCUUUUCCCUGACAGAUACACUGGUGAAAAUUAAAGAAAUAAAAAAUGAGAGGUAUCGUUCUUGUAUCACAUGAAAAACAGGAAAAAAGAGCUUAAGCUUCUGCUUUAUUUCUUAGCACAUGCAAGUUAUAUAGUUAAUUUUCUCAAACCAUAUGCUAGAGGCUUGGCUGAGGCUUGCAAUCCAUGUGGCAUUUCUUACCACACUAUAAUAUGAUCAGGCUGCUUUUGGCACCUCUUUCCAAAAGAAGCAGCUGAACAUGGUCCUGUGUUUUGCUGAUGGCAUCAGGAGAGGGUGUUGCUUCCCUUCAGUGAGUUCCUUGCACCCGCAUUUGCACUGUGUUGUGAUCACAGUUCUCAACCUAGGAGCACCUGAAUGGCUUCAAUGUUGCCAGUCCUGCCAAGAUUGGCUGCAGAUCACAGAUCUUUCAAGGGGAAAAAUGUCCUACUGUGGGAGGAUGAACAAUUCAUAUUCUCUGAGAAAAUGUACACAGUACUCACAGGUAGUGCCUCAACAAUGCAUAGAACAAACUCCUCAUCUAAUGAAUUAACACUAUGAUUUUUCUAAUAACAGUUACUUCCAAGUCCGGACUUUUUGCUGACAAGUAGUUUUGAACAUAUAUAUAUAUACAUGCAUGGCACGCCUCAGUGCAGUUUGACUAUAAAUGUAGGUCCAAUGCUUAUAAAUAUAAAGAGUGGGUGUCAAGAGAAUAGGGCUAGGCUCUUUUCAGUGGUAUCCAGAAACAGGACAAGGGGUAAUGGGCACAAACUGAAACACAGGAAAUUCCAGACAAACAUGAGGAAAAACCUUAACUUAAGGGUGAGCACUAGAACAAGUUGCUCAGAGAUGUUGUGGAGUCUCCUCUGGAGAUAUUCAGAACCUGCCUGGAUGCUGAACAUACUGUAGGGAACUGGCUUUAACAGGGGUUGGAGUCAAUGAUCUCCAGAGGUCCAAACCCUAUAGUUCAAUCUCACUAUCUGGAAACUUUGCUUCUAUUCUUUCAGGCUAGAAUCUUGGUAUGAAGUCAAUAUGACAAAAAGUAAUAUCCACCCAAGUGUAGAUACUCAAACAGUUGAUCCAUAACUGAGUGACAUUUGGAAUUAUGCAUUAAAAUCUGAGGCAAAAUUUUAACUUUAUUGGGCGUUAGAGGGCCACUGAUGUGAGACACUGAUGAUCACUGAUGUGAGAGGGCACCGAUGUGCCACAGAGACACUGAUGUGAGAAAACACAGAAGCGAUAUCAAGAAAAACAUUGUAUCCUCAGGAUCUGGCACUCAAACACACCAAAAUAAGUUUUUUAAAAAAUUAAAUAAAUAAAAUCUGAAAGACAGUUUUAAACAAGCCAGUGUAUAGCUGGUUCAACAGACAGUGCAGGUGUAGACUUAAACAUUCUCCAGACAAGUUAAUUGAUUUAGGAAAGUCAUUACUUACAUCUCUUGAGUUUAGUAAUGGGAGACCUGAGGAGUUUAAAAGCAUAUCAGAUUUCUAAAAGACUGAUUCUGGACUGCAUUUCAAAGUACAUCAAAUACUGCUAUACCUCCAUAGGAUAUCUGAUCCCUACCAUGCAGCAAGCAGGCAGGGCUGUUACAGCAGCACAGGGGUUCUGACCAGGCUUUUCCUCAUGCUGCUUUUACUUAGGAUAAUCACCCAUACAAGAGCCAUCGAUGUUUAAGGUCACAUUGUUCUUCUUCCUCUGGCUUAACCGUAGCCUCCCCAGAGCCAAAGCCCCAUCCUAAGUAGGCUGGAUCUGCCCCAAAAGGGAGAGGACACAGGCAGUAUCUGCUGAGCUCAGGCUGGUACUGAUGCCCCAGUACCCAGUACAUCACCAGGGGAGAGCAAUACUACCUUUGAAAUGCUCUGACAAAUUUAGGAUGUUUUCUAUGUUGUUUGUUUGUUUGGUUGGUUGUUUUGUUUUGUUUUGUUUUGUUUGGCAGGUGUGUUGCUGGUGGAAGAGCCUGUAGAAGAGAAGGCUUUGCACAAGACUACAUGCGGCAACAUUUGGGAUGUAAAUGCAUUAGAAAACCACCCACCUAGGCUGGCUUUUCAGGCUACAACUUUUACUGAUGCCAUCAUACCCAAACUCUCUAACCUGCUAUCAGAAGGCAAAAUGUGCCUGUGGAGCCUUUUGGUCUUCCCUGGGGAACUGAAGACAGGGGAAGAUCUGGGCACAUCCUCUGAGUAAACCACAGCUGAAGAGGUUUUCAAACUGUUCAUGCUUCAGAACACUGGAAGACUCCAGUAGGAAUAACUAUAAACCUACUCAUUACAGUCUGCAGAUCUCCUAGUGUGGGUACCUGUCCCAGAAGAGAAGAACUACAUCCCCCAAAGGACUGCUCACUGUUCUGUUACCAUUUCUGCUCAGAGGGGAGGAUAGAAGUCAUUCAGAUCUCUUGAACUCCCCCUUCCUUCUUGAUCUCAGUAGCAUAGGUGCUCCCUACAUCGUCUCACCUCAGCAUUAGAGUAAGGCCUUUGACUUUUGGACGCUCACUUUCAUUUUGUAUGAUUUAUAAGCUCCAAUUCUAAUUAUAUUGUAUCAUAUUGUAUUACAGUGUGUUAUCUUGCAUUCUGAUAUCUUAUUUAGUAAAUUUGUUUGUUUCUCCUCAUAUCGUUGCCACUGUUUUACUUUUAGGCUCAUCUCUCUACCCUUUUCCUUUUUUUCCCUUUUACCUUUCAGGGCAUGGAUCCAGGGGUCCCUCUGCCCCAGUAGUCACAGAACCAGGUCGAACCAGCCUGUAAGCCAUUGACAGGGUAGCAUAAAAUCCACCAUCUCUUGAAAAACAAAUUAAAAUAUAUUAGCUCCCAUUGAGUUCCAUUUUUUGUUUCCAUCUAAUUCGCAGACCUUAACAGCAGUUUCACUAUGUUACAUUUUAGAGGACUGACAAAACUUAUCAUUGGUAAGAAGACAUUCAGUUUAAAGCAGGAUAAACAGUUUUGCAGAGCUGAGCUAAAAGAAGUGGCAAUUAAAAUGCAUCUGCUAUGAUGGAAUGAACUUUAUUUAAGAUGUUAAUAAUGAUAUUGGAAGUCAUGCAUGAAGCUUUAUUCCUUAUGCAUGGACAAA